GACGGAGGAUGCAAGUGUUAUCCGGAAUCACUGGGCGUAAAGCGUCUGUAGGUGGUUUGAUAAGUCAACUGUUAAAUCUUGAAGCUCAACUUCAAAAUCGCAGUCGAAACUAUUAGACUAGAGUAUAGUAGGGGUAAAGGGAAUUUCCAGUGGAGCGGUGAAAUGCGUAGAUAUUGGAAAGAACACCGAUGGCGAAGGCGCUUUACUGGGCUAUUACUGACACUCAGAUACGAAGGCUUGGGUAGCAAAUGGG
RNAcentral lists this ribosomal RNA (253 nucleotides) under uncultured bacterium. RNAcentral describes it as "partial 16S ribosomal RNA". It matches the Rfam family "Bacterial small subunit ribosomal RNA", at positions 524 to 776 of the family's 1533-position model. The record is from RNAcentral.